UAAAUUUAAAAAAUUGAGAAAUUACCAAAAGCCCCCCUUUUCCUUUUUUCUUUUUCUUUUUUUUUUUGCUGGGCGUUGGGCCUAGGCCUGCUGGACAGUCUGCUGGGCCGAAUCUGCUGCUGGUCUGCUGGGUCAGCUACUGUUGGCUGGGCAGUGGCCUGCUGCGCUACUGGGCUGCACAAAGUGGGCCUGCUUGCUGGGCCACGUCGCUGGGCCUGUGGGGCUGCCUGCACACUGCGCUGGGCCUGGGGGCCUGCUAGGCCUGCUAGGCCUACUGCUUUUCUUUUUUUUUCCUGCUUUUUUUCUGUUUUGUUUGUUUUUUUUGGGCUGCUUUGGGCUUGGGACUGCUGCUGCUGGGUCGGGUCAGUUCACCGGAUCGGGUCGUGGGUCGGGCCGGGCCGGCCGGUUCGGGUCGGGUCGGCCCGGUUUUUGAAUCUUUUUUUCCUCUUUUUUUUCUUCUUUCUUUCUUCUUUCUUCUUCUUCCUUUUUCUUCUUCCUUCUUCUUCAAAGUUUAGUCUCCACCGUUGCUUGCGCCACCGUCGUUUGCUGCUGCCGACGCCACGGUGCCGCCGCCGUCUCCUCCUUCUUCUCUCUUCUCCUUUCUUUCUCUCUUUUUGGCAAAGCUUUUUCUCUUUUUUUUGUUUUUCUUUUUUUUUGAAAUCUCCCCCCUUGAUUUUGGGGUUUAAACCCCUUUUUAUAGCUGAUUUCUCUUUCUUUUUGCAGGUAGCAAGUGGGCUAGGGAGAGGUAGGCCGGCCGCCGCCGUUGCAGGCGCAAGUUGGGCUGAUUGCUGUCAGAGGGACCAAAAUGUAAAUACAGUAAAAGUUUUAGGGCUGAAACGUAAUUUAGAGAAAGUUUAGGGGUCAAAAUGUAAUUUAGAAAAGUUUAGGGGUUGAAAUGUAAUUUCGAGAAAGUAUAGGGGUCAAAAUGCAAUUUUUUAAUUUUUUUAAUUAAUUUUUUUAACACAAAAUUAUUCCCGGAC
RNAcentral lists this long non-coding RNA (980 nucleotides) under Gossypium raimondii (Peruvian cotton). RNAcentral describes it as "long non-coding RNA (GRAI_LNC001036)". Lineage: Eukaryota; Viridiplantae; Streptophyta; Magnoliopsida; Malvales; Malvaceae. The record is from RNAcentral.